GGAAUCUUCCGCAAUGGACGCAAGUCUGACGGAGCAACGCCGCGUGAGUGAAGAAGGUUUUCGGAUCGUAAAACUCUGUUGUUAGAGAAGAACAAGUGCUAGAGUAACUGUUAGCGCCUUGACGGUAUCUAACCAGAAAGCCACGGCUAACUACGUGCCAGCAGCCGCGGUAAUACGUAGGUGGCAAGCGUUGUCCGGAUUUAUUGGGCGUAAAGCGAGCGCAGGCGGUUUCUUAAGUCUGAUGUGAAAGCCCCCGGCUCAACCGGGGAGGGUCAUUGGAAACUGGGGAACUUGAGUGCAGAAGAGGAGAGUGGAAUUCCAGGUGUAGCGGUGAAAUGCGUAGAUAUAUGGAGGAACACCAGUGGCGAAGGCGACUCUCUGGUCUGUAACUGACGCUGAGGCUCGAAAGCGUGGGUAGCAAACAGGA
RNAcentral lists this unclassified non-coding RNA (427 nucleotides) under plant metagenome. RNAcentral's name for it is "partial contains 5.8S ribosomal RNA, internal transcribed spacer 2, and large subunit ribosomal RNA". It matches the Rfam family "Bacterial small subunit ribosomal RNA", at positions 358 to 777 of the family's 1533-position model. The record is from RNAcentral.